CCAGUCAGCAGGAGGUAGGAUGAGGAAGUAGAAGACAGAAAAGCUAAGAGUCACAGCAGCUAGAACUAGAAGUGACAUUAUGUGAAUACCAGGAAGCCCAGGGGAGAAAAAUGGAAUGAAAUAGUUAAAGAAAUAAGGAAAACGUAACAGAUUUUUGAGAAUUUCAAGACCUUAGAAUGACAAGGGCUGGUAGAGCACCAAACAAGAAAAAUAAGGAAAGCCUCCCACAGGGACUAGCAAAGAGAAGUGGUGGACUUUACUAUCUUCCAGAAAGAAAGAGCAGCUCAUCUACAAGAAAAGAAGAAUAAGAUUGGCAUCAGAUUUCUCCACAGCAACAGUGGAUGGAAGAAAAAUUAGUGUGCUUAAGAACUGAAAGUAAAUAUUUAAUUACAAAAAUGUUUAUGAAAGUAAAUAUUUAAUUACAAAAAUAUUUACUGUGACAUUUCUUAUAAUAGCGAAAUACUGAAAGUGCCUUGAAUGUCCAUACAAUGGCAUACCAUGCAUCCACUUAAAAUUAUGUUACAGAAAAACACUCUAAACUGAAGAAGAUAGUCACAAUGAAUAGAUUUCUCUAUAAGAGAUUCUGCACAUGCAUAGGAUGAGUCCAAUUUUGUGUAUGUGGAAAGAAUGAAAGACUAUAUGCAGAAGUUUAGUUUUUAUCUCUGACAGUUAGCUGGAACUACAUAUACUACUUCCUUUUUGCUUUUUUAACAACUACAUUUUCUCAUAUGAGAUUUUGCUACUUUUUUAAAGGAAAAAAAUGUGACUCAACUAUUGAUUUAUCUCUGAGAGAACUCCAAGACUAAAUACUAAUUGGGAGUGAUUUUAGAUGCUCAGAGGCUGUUACAACGUUUCUGGGAGAUGUGACAGGAUUGAAUUAAGACAGUGGCAAAGGGGAUGGAUCUAGGGGGCUCUAUUGGACUGACAUGCAGGAAAAAUGAAUAGGAAUUUGUUAGCAGUUGGAUAGGGGACAUGUCAAGGAUGACUCUGAAGUUUCUAGCUCCUCUCAUAUUUUACUUAUCAACUCCUAAAUUUAGGUUUGAAAGAACUAUUAUACAUGCCCUUCUAAAGAAAUGUUGUGAUACAAAAGGCAGAUAUUUAUACUAUGUUUCCAGCAGCUCCUUCUAUGAAAGCACUUUUGAAGCUGAUUUGUAUGUACACCUACAUUGUGAGCCACAGAUAUUUUAUUUUCAAGAAAAACAUGCUCUACAAACUCUUUCCCAACCUGUGUCAUUAAGCAAAAGCAAUUGCUUUAUUCACCACCAACCUCUGCCUGAGAUCUUUUGAAUGCAGCUUCAAAGGUUCCAACCAACCACUGGAGUAAUCUGUCUAAACCGCACUUCCCAUCAGUGUGUGUUAAGGCUGUCAGAUAAGCAACAGCAAACCGAAUUAUCAGUUCUAGGGCAUCAUUAUGGCUAUUUCCUGUGUGCCUGUAAAGAUAAAUUGGAAGGAGCCGGACAAGAUAGUGAGAGUCUUUACUGAGAAGUGGAUCUGCUACUUGUGAAAGGAGAGGAGGAACAGAAGCAGACAGAUGGAGGCCGAAAUUGAAUUGCUGCUGACUGUUGUCCCUUGUUAUGGCCUGUGGAGAUAUGACAAUUGAGGAAGAACUUAGAGAAAUGCCAAGUAGUAGAGCAUGAAGGAGUGGGUGUGACCCACUGCCUUGGAUAUUUUAUGGCUGAUAGCAUUUGGCAAGAAAAAAUCUGCAGCCUCUAUAGUACUCUUGCAAAUAGAUUUCAACAUCAACCAUGCCCCUACCCUCAUCCCUAUUUGAUUUGCCCUGUAAGGUAUAUAUUUGCCAAAAUCUGCUCUUCUAAUUUUCAGUUACCUCACAGGACCCCUUGUAAACACCUAAAUAUUGAAAUAAAUAACACUUGGAAAGUUCUUUGUUUAAUUAAAAAUUGGGGCACAGAAAAUAGAGGCAAGGCACAUGAAAUUUCUUAUCCAUCCUACUUUUCAUUCCUUUUGGACUUGUCCUAUUUUCCAGGCUGUUUGACCAGAAAUUUUUACCAAGAGAGUCUUUGAAUGAUCUUUCAGGGGUGCUUGCCCCAUGGGAAUUAGAAGUACAAUAUCUGUGCAUGCUACACCGGGUUUUUUUUUUUUUUUUUUUUUUCACCAGAAGAGAGUCUGCAGUUUUCAUGAGAUUCUGGAAGCAGCUUAAAACUUCAAAAAGUUUAUGAAUCCCUGCUUUGGAUCUUUGGUUUAUGG
Bubalus bubalis (water buffalo) is the source of this 2205-nucleotide long non-coding RNA. RefSeq lists it as uncharacterized. NCBI's taxonomy places the organism in Eukaryota, Metazoa, Chordata, Mammalia, Artiodactyla, Bovidae. The record is from RefSeq and is a predicted model, not a curated record. The transcript has 3 exons.